This 408-nucleotide ribosomal RNA is filed under the name uncultured bacterium. Its description in RNAcentral is "bacterial SSU rRNA". It matches the Rfam family "Bacterial small subunit ribosomal RNA", at positions 30 to 435 of the family's 1533-position model. The record is from RNAcentral.
AUUGAACGCUGGCGGCAUGCCUUACACAUGCAAGUCGAACGGCAGCACGGGAGCAAUCCUGGUGGCGAGUGGCGAACGGGUGAGUAAUAUAUCGGAACGUGCCCGGUCGUGGGGGAUAACGUAGCGAAAGCUACGCUAAUACCGCAUACGAUCUACGGAUGAAAGCGGGGGAUCGCAAGACCUCGCGCGAUUGGAGCGGCCGAUAUCAGAUUAGGUAGUUGGUGAGGUAAAGGCUCACCAAGCCGACGAUCUGAAGCUGGUCUGAGAGGACGACCAGCCACACUGGGACUGAGACACGGCCCAGACUCCUACGGGAGGCAGCAGUGGGGAAUUUUGGACAAAUGGGCGCAAGCCUGAUCCAGCAAUGCCGCGUGCAGGAUGAAGGCCUUCGGGUUCGGUUAAACGUUA